GCUGGAAUGGCCGAGUCGUUAAGGCGAGUGAUUUGAAUAAUCAAACAUAUCACUUGGUGUUUCACCGCGUAGGUUCAAAUCCUGCUUCCAGCG
Molecule: non-coding RNA, 93 nt
Organism: Macrolepiota fuliginosa MF-IS2
Lineage: Eukaryota; Fungi; Basidiomycota; Agaricomycetes; Agaricales; Agaricaceae
Source: the annotation of a GenBank genome assembly